Molecule: transfer RNA, 75 nt
Filed under: archaeon GW2011_AR15
Lineage: Archaea
Description: tRNA-Asp
Source: RNAcentral
GCCCAAGUAGUGUAGUCUGGCCUAUCAUAAAGCCCUGUCGAGGCUUUGACCCGGGUUCAAAUAUGUCCAUAGUCA